UGUAAAUUAAUUUAGGGCUAAGCAUGUAGACAAUUGAACUAAAUUCACAUGCUAUAAAAGAUUCGAUCUUCGUGUUAUUAAAAAUAGUUUUGUGACAAUUCCCUCUUAUUAAAAAUUUGAAUUCUUAAAUAAUAAAAUAUAAGAUACUUUAUUAUGAAGCUAUCCAUCAAGGUAAUCAAUUUUACUUACUUCUUGUUUAUAAGGAGCGGCCUGACUACCAGGAGACUUAUAGUUCGAGAA
Molecule: long non-coding RNA, 240 nt
Filed under: Nicotiana benthamiana
Lineage: Eukaryota; Viridiplantae; Streptophyta; Magnoliopsida; Solanales; Solanaceae
Description: long non-coding RNA (NBEN_LNC021948)
Source: RNAcentral